RNAcentral lists this ribosomal RNA (372 nucleotides) under uncultured bacterium. RNAcentral describes it as "bacterial SSU rRNA". It matches the Rfam family "Bacterial small subunit ribosomal RNA", at positions 524 to 898 of the family's 1533-position model. The record is from RNAcentral.
UACGGAGGAUGCGAGCGUUAUCCGGAUUUAUUGGGUUUAAAGGGUGCGCAGGCGGGAUUUUAAGUCAGCGGUGAAAUUUUCAGGCUCAACCUGAACACUGCCGUUGAAACUGGGAUUCUUGAGUAUGGAUGAAGUAGGCGGAAUUCGUUGUGUAGCGGUGACAUGCUUAGAUAUAACGAGGAACUCCGAUUGCGUAGGCAGCUUACUAAGCCAUAACUGACGCUCAAGCACGAAAGCGUGGGGAUCAAACAGGAUUAGAUACCCUGGUAGUCCACGCCGUAAACGAUGAUUACUAGUUGUUUGCGAUAUACCGUAAGUGACUAAGCGAAAGCGAUAAGUAAUCCACCUGGGGAGUACGCCGGCAACGGUGAA